RNAcentral lists this ribosomal RNA (24 nucleotides) under Seimatosporium vitis. RNAcentral describes it as "partial 28S ribosomal RNA". The record is from RNAcentral. RNAcentral also lists the same sequence under 2 other names. Lineage: Eukaryota; Fungi; Ascomycota; Sordariomycetes; Amphisphaeriales; Sporocadaceae.
GACCUCGGAUCAGGUAGGAAUACC